Non-coding RNA from Rattus norvegicus (Norway rat), 27092 nucleotides. The record is from RefSeq and is a predicted model, not a curated record. Lineage: Eukaryota; Metazoa; Chordata; Mammalia; Rodentia; Muridae.
CCGCCGCGCUGACGUCUGGAGGUGUAAGUUCAAGAGCUGCCAUUGGCCAGGCGCAGCUUGGCUCUUCCCCCUUCACUUCCCACCCCAGCAUCAGCCCAGACUCGGAAACUGAGGCCAAUUGGGAACCUGAAGAACCAGUUCCACCUGAGAGGCCUGAGGGAGAGACAGAAGCGCUGCCCUUGGGUGAUGGGCGACAAUCCAAUGCCCUGAGCUCCCAGCUUCAGCUCCAGCACCAUACCUUCCUGCCUGCUGCUGUGCUUCACCACGAUGAUGGCGGACCAGCCCUCUGAAACUGUGAGCAAGCCCCCAAUUAAAUGCUUUCUUUCAAACAUCGCCUUGGUUGUCUUGUCUCCUCGCAGCAACAGAACAGUAACUAGGAGGGAGGGUGAUGACUGCUAUGGUCACCUCAACCGACUGUAUUUGAUCGAUCUAAAACAUUCACACUGAGUAGCAUGGGUGUCCAUGUUAAGUACAUUGUGCUCAAGCUGACUGUAAUAUAAAGUCAAAAUUUACAAGACACCUAGCCUAGACUAUCAAAAUGUCAGUGUCCAGCUAGCAAGAUGUCUCAGUGGGCAAACUCACUGUUACUAAUGACCUGAAUUCAGUCCCUCUAGGUGCCUUCAUGUUAAAAGAGAACUGGCUCCCCCAAGUCGGCAUCAGAAUCUGGUGUGCAUGAAUGCACGCACCCACAUGUAUAUACACUUAUGCAUACCCACAGGCAGAAAUAAUUUUUUAAAGAUUUAUUUAUUUUAUUUAUAUGUUAGUACACUGUAGUUCUCUUCAAACACUUCAGAAGAGAGUAUCCCAUGAGAGCAUCCCAUUACAGAUGGUUGUGAGCCACCAUGUGGUUGCUGGGAAUUGAACUCAGGACCUCUGGAAGAGCAGUCAGUGCUCUCAACCACUGAGCCAUCUCUCCAGCCCCCAGAAAUGAUUUUUUAAAAAGCUUCAAUGUCAUGAAAAUAAAAGAGUAACUAUUUGAAUGAAACCCAAGGAGAGAGUAGAAAUAAAAAUGCUAAAUCUAUGAAUGUGGACUAUAUUAUGGUUGAAGAUGAUACAGUCAAUCUAGUAAUAUUAUGUUCCUGUAGGAGAAAAUGCAGGCAUGACCUAGCAGCCGGCCUGCCUGGCACACUGCACUUCUGAAUAAGAAGCAGGGCACACCAUGCUCCUGAAGCCAGAACACUGGAUCCAGCAUGAGUAGCAGGUAGCUGGCCUGCAGAUGAGUCUGCCUUCUCCAUGUCUCCUUUAAUGCGUGUCUUCUGCAUGGAGACCCCGAUGGCGGGAGUGCUCACUAGUCAGUCCAAGGUAAUGUGCCAACCAAUCACAGUCGGUAGCCUUCCACUGUGUAAGGACUUGUUCAGGAACAAUAAAGCAGACGCUGUCCCCUGAAAACUCCAGGCCCUCUACCAGUCCAUAAUGACAGUGUAUUUCCACUUCAGUAAACACUGGGAUCAGACCUUGAUAUCUGGACAUGGACUAAUGUUCUAAUUCUUUUUCGAAAACUUAGCAAUGGCAGCUAGAUACAACUUAAUGAUUUACUUCUUUUUUAUUUUUGUUUUUAUAUCAUACUUACCAUGAUUUUUUUAAAAUCAUCUCCUUGGACUCUGCUUAAUACUAAGUGAAAUUUACAUCUUAAUCUGUAGAAAAAUAAACAUUUCCAGAGAGUUAUGUUUUCCUGCCUAGGACCAGCCUCAGCUUGGAGAGGGGUUCUGAGAGAGGGGUGUUUGAGAGCAGUGAAAUGAACAACUCAAAGUCAAAUCGUGGUUACAUGCAGAUGGCCUAUGUUAUUCUCAAGAGCGCUUUCCAGAUUGCUCUCUCCAUGUUCUGCUUGCUCUGGAGCUCUCCAGACAGCUCUCUGCUCAAGCCAGCUUUUUUCUUUCUUUCUCUGUUUAUUUUUUCUUUAUUUCUUUUUUCUUUCUUUCUUUUAUUUAUUUAUUUUUCUUUUAUUGAAUUUUUUUGAUUUCCAUUUUGAAGGUUAUCCCCUUUCACGAUUUCCCCUCCAGAAACUCGAUAUCCCAUCCCUCUCCCCCUGCUUCUAUGUGGGUGCAUCCUCACCCAUUCACUCACCCACUCCCUUCCUCCUCCCUGCCCUGGAAUUCCCCUACACUGGGGCAUCGAGCCUUCACAGGACCAAGGGCUUCUCCUCCCAUUGAUGCCCAACAAGACCAACUUCUGUUAUAUAUGCAGAUGGAGCCGUAAGUCCUUCCAUGUGUGCUCUUUAGAUGGUGGUUUAGUCCCUCGGAGCUCUGUUUGAUUAGUGCUGUUCUUAGAGGGUUGCAAGCCCCUUCAGCUCCUUCAGUCCUUUCUUUAACUUCUCCACUGGGGACUCUGUUCUCAGUUCAAUAGUUGGCUGCGAGCAUCCGCCUCUGUAUUUGUCAGGCUCUGGCAGAGCCUCUCAGGAGACAGCUAUAUCAGGCUCCUGUCAGCAUGCACUUUUUGGCAUCUGCAGUAGUGUCUGGAUUUGGUGUCUGUAUAUGGAAUGGAUCCCCCGGUGGAGCAGUAUCUCUUAUAUUCUGUUGGUAAUGCUUGCAUCUAUGACUCCUGAUCUCUUUCCUAGGUUUUCUAUCUCCAGGGUUGUCUCCCUUUGUGAUUUCUUUAUUGUUUCUAUUUCCAUUUUUAGAUCCUGGAUGGUUUUGUUCAAUUCCUUCACCUGUUUGGUUGUGUUUUCCUAUAAUUCUUUAAAGGAUUUUUGUGUUUCCUCUUUAAGGACUUCUACCUGUUUACCUGUGUUGUCCUGUAUUUAUGUAAGGGAGUUAUUUAUGUCUUUAUUAAAGUCCUCUAACAUCAUCAUGAGUUCUGAUUUUAAAUCAAAAUCUUGCUUUUCCGGUGUGUUGGGAUAUCCAGGACUUGCUGUGAUUGGAGAACUGAGUUCUGAAGAUGCCAAGUGGCCUUGGUUUCUGUUGCUUAGGUUCUUGCAUUUGCAUCUCGCCAUCUGAUUAUCUCUGGUGUUGGCUGAUCUUGCUAUCUCUGACAGUGGCUUGACCCUCCUGUAAGUAUGUUUGUCAGUACUCCUGGGAGACCAACUCUCACCCAGCGGGAUCUGGGUACCAAGAGCUGUGGCACAGGGUCAGCUCCAGGUUCAGACAGAAACCAGAAGGAUACUGUCCCAGACUGCUCAUCUAUUCCUGUGUCCCAAGGGCUCCAGGUGGGUCCCUCAUAGCAGAAGUGGUGGUCCUACCUGAGUUCCCAGGUGUACUAGCACUCCUGGGAAACCAGCUCUCUUCUGGCGAGAUCUGGGCACAGAGAGCUGUGGACCAAGCCAACUUUUUUUCAAUUCUAAAAAACCAUCUGAUUAGCUCAUCUCUUGCAGAUCAGAUCACCCCCCCACCUCCUUUUUUUUUUUUUUACAUACCAAUUCAGUCUUUACCCAAGGUUUCCUUUUGAUUAUUCCAUGAAUCAGCAUUCCAUGACCUCCUUGAUUCUUAGAAAGAGACAGAAUGCACAAGCACAAGCACAAGCACAGACAACAAGAUAGUUGGGUGGGAUCCCGUACUGAAAUCUCCUUCCUUAGUUAUCUUCCUGACAAGCUGUCUCUGUUUCCUUUAGAUCUCUGGAGUUCCUUAUGUAAUUCAUAUUGCACCCUUAUAUUUUUCAUAAUUGAGAAAUUAUAUAUUUUCAAACUUAUGUUUUCAGUGUUCUUUCCCACAGCCUUAAAGUCCUGAAAGUGACAACAUUCUACCAUUUUUCUGAGACAUUAACCACACCCUCACCUUCUAGACUCUGAUUAUAUCUCUAAUUAUCAUGGAGUCAUUAACCUAAGCAGAGAGGACAAUUCUCAAAGGAGGAAAGUAAAAAUAUUUGCCCACAGCAACCAUCAAUAUUUGUUGAGACCCACAGCCUGUUGGGUCCAGGGGCAGGAAACAUGUUCCUUACAUAUGACCAAGAAGGACUAGGCAUUUUUUCAAUAAGUGUGGUGUCACUAUGUUAGUCUUGGUGUCCCUCAGCAAACACUGCAUUUUUCAAAAUAUUUUCACUCCUUUUUCCUAGUUAACUUACGCAUGGUAUCAGAAAGUUGGUAAUUCCUAGGCUAUAGAAAUGCAUGUUUGUUUUUUAUGUUUAGGCUAUUUUAGGUAAUAACUUACAUGAACAGGUUUCUAUAUAUGAGGUGAUAGUUGUAUUGCUGGAGUAGAGUUUCAGUGAGUAUACUGUUACCUUAAUGUGUUGUCAUAGUUAUGUUUUAUGUGGACUUUUGAAUAUACAUUUGUUGAAUUGGUCCUUACUUUUUUUUUUUUUUUUUUUUUUUUUAGGAUUCACUUAUUUUAUUUAUAUGAAUACACUGUAGUUGUCUUCAGACACACCAGAAGAGGGCAUCAGAUCCUGUUACAGAUGGUUGUGAGCCACCAUGUGGUUGCUGGGAAUUGAACUUAAGACCUCUAGAAGAGCAGCCAGUGCUCUUAACCGCUGAGCCAUCUCUCCAGCACCAGUCCUCAUUUUUAAAAUAGGAUUUUAUAUAAAAAUGAGAUUUCUCAUUUGUGUUUAGGGGAUGGAGAACUUUUUAAUCCUUCUCAAAUAGUAGUUAUUAUUUUAUUGUUUUUUUUUUCUGAGAAGCAAAAGAAUCCCUAAAUACUACAAAGAGCUACAAAUUUCUGCCAAGGAAAGUCAUAGAUUUACUCACAUAGAAAUACUCAUUUUUGUAUAGUUUGUUUCAUGUGACCAAAUUUAAAAGACAAGAAGAGGCAAUAAGGGGCACACCUAGAAUAGAAAGUUACUCUAUCUCCCGUAGUAGAUACCACAGUCUCUAACCUAUUCUAAAUGUGUGUCCUUAUGCCCAUAGGUAACUGUAGUGUUCACCCCUCAUUAAAGAAACUCUUCCUUGCAAUAUGCAUAACAGUUCUGAAAACCACAACCAAUCAAGCUGCAGUUAUAGAGCCAAGUUCCAAUGGACAUAUUUACAAAACAGCUCCUAAGCCAAGGCACAGGAAUCACUGUGGAAGGAGUAUCAAAACAAGACUAGAGUAAUGGAGUUUGUGAGAUUGUGUUUCCUAGGACUGUCCGAAGCUACACCCAUGAAGUCUCACUGAUGUGACCGACUCAACCUGAGCUGAACAAUGAUGACCCUAAUGGAGAUGCAAGUGUGGAAGGGGAACGCUCACACAACCUUAACACUACAGAAUUCUAUAGGAAAUUAAGGAAUGCUGAGAGCAGGAAAAAUGAUCUUGGAAUGACAAUUUGCUCAUAGGGAAAAACAAAAGGCCCAGGAUAAGUAAAACACUCCUGAAUAAAAAAUAAAAAGUAUCACCAUCCCAGAUCUCAAGUUGUGUUACAGAGCUGUAAUAAUACAAACAGCACGGCAUUAGCCUAUAAACAGACACCUUGUCCAAUGGAAUUAAAUUGCAGACUCAGACCUAAGUCCACACAUCUAUGAACACUGAUUUUUUUUUUUAAAGAAAGAUCCAAAAACAUACACUUAGAAAAAAGAAUCAUCAAAAAUGGUGCCGGGCAAAUUGAAUGACUGCAUGAAGAAGAAUGCAUAUAGAUUUCUAUUUGUCACCUUACACAAACCUCAACUCCAAAUGGAUCAAGGACCUCAACAUCAGGCCAGAUACCCCAAAUCUAAUAGAACAAAACACUGAUAGUACAAGCAACGAGAUCAGCAAUUGAUUAAUGGGAUCUCAUGAAACUGAAAAGCUUUUCUAUGUCAAGGCACAGAAUAGCAGACGACAAAAUGGGAAAAUAUCAUUACCAAUUACACAUCCAAUAGAGUGUUAAUGCCUUAAAUAUAUAAAGAGCUAAAAAGAUAAAAAUGAAUAAAUAAAAAACAACUGGACAUCCAGAAAGCAAAUAACCCGGUUUAAAAUGGAAUAAAAAACUGAACAGGGAGUUCCCAAAAGAUAAACCACAAAUGUCUGAGGAACUCUUAAGAAAUAAUUCAACUGGAAACCCUCACACAUCUCAGGCUAUUGACAGUUGCCCUCCGCAAACUGGUAGUAAGGCGCUGCUGCUGAAGGCAGCACUCAACACCCCCUACUGAACACGAAGAAGUCAAGCUGGUGCUAAUUAGAAGCUUCACUGUACUGAUGCAGACAGAUCUCUUCUGACUAAAGGCUACCUCUGAUAAACAGUUAUAUAUAAAAUGAAAACUCAGGUAAAUGUAUUGCAAGGUGGAGGUUUUUAAACCUGCCCAUCUGUACAAAUGUAUCUUUGAUAAAUAUACAGGUGUCAUUCGAUACACAUAUGUGAUCCUUGAUGCUAACACUCUUCAUACCCCAACUGCGGUGUUAUCUAGUGUGGGGCAGAGGAACAGAACUGAAAGAACUCAAUAGAGAUAUUGUUCAUCUUUCUAUGCACGUUGUAUUGCCUCACAGUGCUAAGACCUUUAGACAAUGUUUCCUCCUUUGGUGGGAGACUUAGGUGAAGCUGGAAAAGCAUCUAAGACACUGCUUUGACACAUAGUCUCGUAUCUGUAGAAGAAGGCAAAUCCUUUCUACAUUUACUUCCUCCUUAAAUGGAUGAAAAUCUGCAUUCAACUAUGUGUAAAUGUUCUUUUGCCUUGGAAGGUGAUCUCAAUGAAUGAAAACACUCUCAACGGUGAUGACAUCACUGACAAAAAUAAAUGCAUUUUACAGAUAAUGUGUUUGGUUCUCAAGACAGUAACGCUAAUUAAAAAUCCAUUUGCAUAUUAAUGCUGAUCUUGUCGUGGCCUCAAGAUCAUUCAAGAGCUGAGGCAAAGUUACUAUGGUUUCCGUUUAAUCAGCAGAAGUUCCUCAGAAGGCAAAAAGUAUUUUCCCAUAGCAGCACUGUUAAUCAUGUCUGUAAGGUCUAAAGUCCAGGCUGGGAAAUCUUAUUAAACCCAAAUACACCAAAUUAUAAUAUUAACAGUGGGUCUGCCCAAUAUAAAUGUUUGUAGUGUUACAGUGAGUCACUAGGUAACUCAAUAGGAAAGACAAGGGAGGGCUCUGGAUCAUUAAAAAAAAAAAAUGUGUUUUAGUCACCGUGCUAAAUAGUUGAUGCUCACUGAAUGUGGACGGAAUCAUCAUCAAAGAGAACAGCCUCACUUUCUAGGUAAUGGACCUGGAAUUUUGAAACACACAAACACACACCACACACACCUACACAGAUACCACACUCAAUAUACACAUACAUACCCAUACAUACAUUCACACCACACACUGCCAUUUUUUGAAACAAUGAAAAGAAAAUGCAUCUAGUAUAAAAAUAAAGACAUAAGUAAUAUUUUAAUUGUUUCAAGAACUAGAGUGCAAUAGAAAGCCAGUUCAAAGAGAUUCAAAGACAACACACAACAGAGGCAAGUCAGAGUGCUGAAACGAAUUUAACACGCAGAAUUAGUCAAACUCCAAAGGGAAAAACUUAGUCUCUCCUUCAUCAGCAGAAACAGUUUACAUUCCGAGCAGCUUAGCUCGACUCACAGAGCGAUAAGUAUCUUGGAAUCAGGGAGGGCACUGAUAAUGAGGUGAGAAGAGUCCACAGGCGAGGACACCUGUGCUAACUCAGAGUCCAUUUCCCUCUUCAUUCUUUCAAGUCCUUCACAAUGUUCCUUCCAUCUCAGCCCCUCGUCCUCACAUGUACAAAUGUGGAGUAUGACUUAGCUCGAUUGGUAGAGUACCUGCCUGGCAUACACAGGCCCUGGGAGCCUGGUGUGGUGGUGCCCACCUGUCCUCCCAGCGCUUGGAAUUGGAAGCAAGAUCAGAAGUUCAAGCUCAUCCUUGGCAGCACAGCAAAUCCAAGGCUAUGUGGGGACUCAGUGGAUUAAAGCGUUUACUGAGCAAACCAAUCCCCAGAACUGGUAGUGGAAGGAAGAGCUGACUCUGAAAGUUAUCCUCUGAUCUCCAUGUUCACACCACAGAACAUGGCACCUGCACUGACUCACAUCCUACACACACACAUUCUCUCAUAUAUACACAUGCAGACAUAAUACAUGCACACACAUACACUCAUACAUAUACAUACACAUACAUACAUAUAUACAUUCACACACAUACACAUACAUACAUACACAUACAAAUGUUCACAUACAUUCAUAUACACAUAUAUACAUACACACACACCACAAAUAAGUUCUUUUUUAAUUUGAAACCACACUGGGUUGCAUGAAAGCUUAUCACAAAAACAAAUAUCAAACUAUUCUUGAUCACACAAAAGACUGGCUUUAUUAAAUUUUUUGUAAUUAUUUAUACAAGGCCUGUUUUAUAAUAAAAUAUUUAAUGUUUUGUGUAGCUUAUAAAAAGCUGAAAGUGUUGGGGAUUUAGCUCAGUGGUAGAGCACUUGCCUAGCAAGCGCAAGGCCCUGGGUUCGGUCCCCAGCUCCGAAAAAAAGAAAAAAAAAAAAAAGCUGAAAGUCCCAUGACUUUCUUAAAGAAGUUAACAUAUAGUCUUAACACCUAUAACCCCAGUGCUCUAGGGUCACAGACAGGAAGGUCACUUGGACCAAUCCAAAAACAAAACAAGCUCCUUACAUUGGAUGCCACCCUGGACAUUGGUACCACAUAUAUAUAUAUAUAUAUAUAUAUAUAUAUAUAUAUAUAUAUAUAUAUAUAUAUAUAUAUAUAUAUACUUUCAAGUCUACAGGAAAUUAAACAAAGAUGGCCAUGAUAUUGUUAGGGGUUUUUGGUUUUGUUUCUUGAUGAGGUACAGAACGUGCCACCCCAAAAUGUAAUACUAUAACACACUGAAAAACUGAAGGUAUCUGAGAAGUUCCUCUGUCCUGCCUCAGGCAGUUCUCACCCAGAGCAGAUCUCAAGGCCCAAGUGAGAGGCAAGGAUUCUCCAACGUAAGGAAGGAAUAUCCUUCUCUCCAAAGACAAAAACUCCAAGUCAGAACUAAGUGGCCUGGCUAAGUUUCCCUGACUUGUGACCAUUAGAUCAUUGCCUUUGCUCUGUCAUAGUUCUUCAUUACCAACCUCUUCUUACCACCCCUACUGUGUGACAACAUUCAAAGCUUAAAGGUAGCUUUGGUUUUAUUUAGAGGACCACUUUGUUUCCCCCCACAAAGCCUCUCUUGUCGAAUAAAGCUUACAUCAACUAAUUUCCUGGGUUACUAUUGUUAUCAGUUGGUUCUCUCUUACUGGAGCCUAAGCCAUGGGACUUACAAGGAUAUAUAUUCCCUCCAGAACAGCACAAGCCUUGCCAGGACACAGCUGUACUUUACCUUGGUCUUGGCCCUGUUGUAAAAUCUAAAAUAUUGACCAUCUUAAAAUACUAGUCUUUAGCCAGGCACCUUUAAUUCCAGCACUCAGGAGGCAAAUACAGGCAGAUCUCUGAGUUCAAGGCCAGCCUGAUCUACAGGGUGAGUCCCAGGAAAGCCAGGGCUACACAGAGAAACUCUGUCUUGAAAAACAAACAAACCAAACCAAGAAAUACUAGUUUUUAAAGAAAAAUUUGUGAACACCAGUGUUAGUGAGCCACAUAGGACCUCUCUGGUUUGCUAUUCAAACAUUAGUGCUAAAUAUGUUUUAGCACAACACGAUGGGCAGGCGUGUAAGGAAUCUUGGACUGGAAUUCUAAAAGCUUCCUCAUUUGGCAUGUUGAGGCUAAGAGAUAAACUGUACAUCUCUACACCGUGUCACUUACGGCUGCUGGCUCACACCCUCAGUCCCAGUGCUCAGAGGGGCAGAGGUAGAGACAGGUAGGAGAUCUUGGAGUUUAUGUCCAACCUCAUCUAUAGAUCACAUUCCAGGCCAGACAUGGAAAUACUGAGACUGUGCCUCAAAUAAGUAAAUUCACAGCAGAUCUAUGGCAUAUCUAUACACUUUGGUAAUGUGUAUAUCAAGAUCUAUUUUGUAGAUCUUGUGUUAGUAAAGUCUCCUAGUUCGCUUUCUGACAUCACUUUCGCAGUGGUUCUCAACCUUCUUCAUGCUGUGAUCCUAAUACAAUACCUUGUGCUGUGGUGACUCCUACCAUAAAAUUACUUUUGUUGCUACUUCAUAUUUAUAAUUUUGCUACUGUUAUGAAUCAAGAGUCACAUAGCUGAUAUGCAGGAUAUCUGAUAUAUAUAUAUAUAUAUAUAUAUAUAUAUAUAUAUAUAUAUAUAUAUAUCCCUUUUGCAACCCACAGGUUGAGAAGCCCUGUCUUAGAGCCUAGGUCCCAAAAACUCAGCAAAAACCAAUACAACAACAAAACCACUUAUAACCAAGAAAACAAAAUAAAACACCAUCCAAUAAGAAAGAAAAACACCUACGUGUCACCAGAUAACACCUCCCCCCCACCAAGAAAAAACCAAACCUAUAAAAUGUUGUUCCUUCUGAACGUGAGACCUACCCUGGCCUCACUGAUAAAGGACAGUUUAGUUGUUAACCUUUACCCUCAUGGCUCGUUUUCAUUUGUUCAUCCAUUUUUGUAACAAAGUAAAAUAUAGUAAGGUAAGAGAAAAACUACUACAUCAAAGUUGGCAAACCAGCAAAAGGAAAAGAGACCAAGAGAAGGCAUGAGAAUCACAGAUCCACUUGUUUCCACAUUCAGGAAUCCCAUAAAAACACUAAACUAGAAGCCAAAAUAUAUGUGAGAGGGCCUGCUGGAGACUGUGUGGUUCCUGUGUGUGCUGCUUUCGUCGGGAAGUUCAUAUGAGUUUUACUUAUGUUGAUUCAAAGACUUUGUUUCCUCGGUGUCCUCCAUUCCCCUUGGCUCUUACACCCUUUCUGCCUCCUGUUCUGUGGCGUUCCCUGAGCUCUGUGGGGAGGUACUCGAUAGACACAUUCCAUUUGGGAAGUCUCUCACUCUCGGCUUAAUGUCUGGCUGUGGGUCUCUGUAUAUGUUCUCAUCUGCUGCAGGAGAAAGCUUCUCUGACAAUGGCAGAACAAGACACCACCUUAUAGCAGAAUAUCAUCAGGGUUCAUUUUAUCACUACGCUUUUCCUUUUUAAAAAAGUACCAGUAUUAAAUAUUUCAUUCUAUCCUAGGUCCCUGUGCUAUCUGGUCUCAAGUUCUUGGUCACCCAAGAGGUGUCAGGUAUGGGAACUAUGUCAUGGAUUUGACCUUAGGUUGGGUAUUCCCACAACCUUUAUGCCAACAUUAUCUUAGCAUAUCUUGCAGGCAGGAUGCCAUUGUGGAAUAAGGGUUUCUGGCUGGCUUGGUGUUUUAUGUUUUUUCUCUUUUGAUAGUGUGCAGAAUACCACUUGUGGCAAAGACACAAGAAUAUAGAAGUCUCUAUGUAGCCUCCUGCUUGACAUCUCCAUGUUCAAUGAGUUGUGUAGGCGUCGUCUUCAGCAUUGGGACCUCGAUGUCAGUGUUUGGAGAGCGACCUACAGUCUGCAACAGCAGAGAUUGUUUUGGGUUGUCUGUGGGGCCUCUCUGGCUAACAAAUCAAUUAGACUAAUCCAAUCCCAGUACUGGAAGCUUGGUUUGUCACAGGAGCUGGCCUGCUGGGACUCCGUCUCCCCCAGUAUUAGGCAACUUCACUUAGAUUGCCUUCAUGUUUGCAUAUAUUUUGGAAAUGUCUACUGUGCUAGGUCUCCAUACUACCCCUCAAAUGGCCCUUAAUACUAGGUGUCUCUUCCCAUAUUCUUUCUCACACCCUCUCUACCCCUCCUCGCUACUUCAUCUUCACAGUCUAUCUCUACACUUCCAUUCAUAUCUAUCUGUCCUAAUUCCCUUUCUUAAUAAGAGCUCUCCAUUCCCUCUAGUCCCUUACUCUGUAUCUACCCUCUGUUGUUCUAUGCACUGUAACUUGGUUAUUUGACACAGGAUCUGCGUUCUCAACUGGAAGCAAGGAUAUCUAGAAGGCGCAUAAUAAAAACACACAGGCUACUCUUUGGGUAUAAACUGACAGGCAAUUUCAAGGCUUAAACACUCUCUCUCUCUCUCUCCCUCUCUCUCUCUCUCUCUCUCUCUCUCCCUCAGCUCGAGGCUGUACACACUCUGCAUUCUCUUGUGCACUCUGCUUUUCUCGUUGUGCUAUUCUUUUCUCGAACUCCCACACUUAUGCACACCUCUGUUCAUUACCCUUUCAUUCUCACACACACUCUUCAUACACACCUCACACAUAUCUCUACAUGCACUCUCCUUUCACACACACACACAAUCUUCAUACACGCCUCACAUUCUCUCUCCACUCACUCUUCACAUGCUCUUCUCAUGCUCUCUCACUCGCUCUCACACUCCCUCUCACACUCGCUCACACAUUUGCUCCCACACCCAUUCCCUCAUGCACUCUCAUUCACUCUCUACCCUUUCUCUUGCCCCAGUCUUUUGUUCAUAAUCCAAAAGCAGGUAGAAAAAAAGGCAUUGUAUAAUCAUUGCCAAAUCAAAUUCAAAAGAAUAACCACAUCCCACAAAGAACUAAGAAUUACAAUUGUUCCCCAAAGUUUCAAGCUUCCCCUAUUCCCAGGCCUGUGGCCAAAAUAAUAAUAAUAAUUGCAAACUUAUCAUUAUUUAAACUUUUGACUUAUUAUACUUCAGAGCUCAAAGCUCCAAGGUCAGUUACUUGCAUUUUCCUGUGAAGCUCUAAUGAUAAAUGACAUGGGCAAAGCUGCCAGGCAGUGGCCAGACAGAAUCAAGUUAACCCUUAACUCAGUGGUUUCGAUAACUUUCUGUUCAUUGCACACAAUGACUCUCGUAACUGUCCCAGUAUUUUGACUUAGUUUUACUGGUAUAUAAUUGUAUAUAUUCUAUACUUCCUUAUCCAGGAACCACUCUCAAAUGUUAUGUAAAACUUAUUUCCUAAUUUCAAUAACUUUUUCCUUUCUUAGGGUCCCAAUGUUGGCUCUAAUUCAUUUUCUAAUAAUUUCUUUAAAGUUUCUUUGCAAGUCAGCAUUAAUCUGGAACUACCAUUGUGCAGUCAUUACAUUGUUUCCAAGAUGAGAACACACAACAUGUACCUGGGCCAUUAGGGCUGUGCUGUGCUGUGCCCCUAUGCUCAAUUUCCAAUUGUUUAAGAAUCAUUACAUCAAGGGACAUCUAGUUUCACAGAAUCCACCAGAGCAGAAGGAGAGAGAAGUAGGACAGUCAGAUAUAAUAGAAUAAUUAUGCACUCCAAGGCCAACUGAAAGGCAGUCAUGCACAAAUGAAAUCCAUGCAGCCGUUGUCCAGGGCUAAGGUUAGGGGAAAUGGGAACAACCAGUCUUUACAAAGAGCUGCUGUGGGCUACUGAGAUGUCUCCAUCCUGGCCUACUGCUGGCAGUCCCUGUCAUCGUAUGCUGUCCCAGCAGUUAUUAUUAACAGCAAAUAUAGACAUAUAAGCAAAUACACACCACGUUUAUCCUCAGAAUCUGGGAUACUUCAGGAUGAUUUUUACAAGUUCAAUCCGAUUUUCUGCAAAUUUCAUGACAUCAUUUUUUUAAACAGCUGAGUAAUACUCUGUUGUAGAAAUAUACUACAUUUUCUGCAUCCAUUCUCCCGCUUAGGGAUGUCUAGGUUGCUUUCAAUCCCGGCGAUUAUGACUAGAUCAGCAAUGAGCAUGCUUAAGCACACGACUUUGGGUCUACACCCAAGAGUUGGUAUAACUGGAUCCUGAGGUGUAGGGAGGUCCCUGUGCCCACUGUGCUUCAAGGACAUCAGGAACGUUAAGCAAGCAGGAUCAUCCUCCGAAAGGAGAGGAUAUAUAACCUAUUUUUCCAUCUAGAAGGCUGGGAGUUGUAAGUGAGUAACAGUCUGCUGAUCUGCAUUAUCUGAAGGGCUAGGCCAUAUCAAGCUCCCAGAACCAGGCCUGGAAAUGGCUAAUAGCCCAAAUGACCUUUAAAAUAUGUGUAUGACCAAGACCAUGUCAGAUCCCUCCCUAGGUCCUUAAGCUAAUGUUUAGUUUUGAACUGAUUUUGCCUCCUUAAGCACCAGGGAUUGUAUUACCCCAGAGAACUGUUUCUCGAACUAUAUUAUGUUUAAAUAUGCUGUCAAUAAACCAGCUGGCACCACACUCUGAAGUUUGAUACGGCCUUGCUGACUGAGUCAGGCCGAAGUGAGUUUUCAUUCUUGCCUCUUUGUGGAUGACUGUCUUGCUGCUAACCAUGAAGCUUGCAGGGAUACCUCAUACCUCAGACACAUCCUGAGGUAGAUCUAUUCCCGUCCUCAGGAAGCACUGACACAUUGGUUCCCAUAGUGGCUGUAAAAAUCUUCACUCCCACCAGCAAUGGAUGAGUUCUCUCACUCCACACCCUAGUCAGCAUUAGCUGUCACUUGUUCUGUUGAUCUUUACCAACAAGACAUGUACAAGGUGAAAUCUCAAAGUAGUUUUGAUUUGCAUUUCAGGGGUAGCCAGCAAUAUUGAACAUUGCCUCUUCUAACUGCCUUCCCUGUGUCCAAGUGUUUGGGUAUGUUGUGUUUUCAUUUCCAUUUAAUUAUAAUUUUUUUUUACUCCCUUCCUUUUUUUUAAGAUUUAUUUAUUUUUAUGUAUAUGAGUACACUGUAGCUGUUAGACACACCAGAAGGGGACAUUGGAUCCCAUUACAGAUGGUUGUGAGCUACCGUGUGGUUACUGGGAAUUGAACUCAGGACCUCUAGAAGAGCAGUCAGUCCUCUUAACCGCUGAGCCAUCUCUCCAGCCCUUGAAUCCCUUCUUGAUCCAUUUUUCCAGUUUUUAAUCUUUCCAUGGUAUAAUGGUUUGCAUAUACUUGGACCAAGGAGUGGAACUAUUAGAAGGUGUGGCCUUGUUGGAGGAAGUGUGUCACUGUGGGGGUGGGCUUGGAGACCCUCCUCCUAGCUGCCUGGGGAUGCUCAGUCUGUUCCUGGCUUCCUUCGGGUGAAGAUGUAGAACUCAGCUCCUCCUGCACCAUGCCUGCCUGGGUUCUGCCAUGAUCCUGACUUAAUGACAACAGACUGAACCUCUGAAUCUGUAAGCCAGCCCCAGUUAAAUGUUGUCCUUCAUAACACUUGCAUUGGUCAUGGUGUCUGUUCACAGCAGUAAAACCCUAACUAAGACACAUGGGUUUCCAUACUCUUUGUCGCUGCUACUGUUGUCUAUUUUUGAUAUCCAGUUCAAUUCAUGAGGUCCGAUAGAAUAAAGGCUGUUUUAAGGUUUUUAUAUCUUGUUUUUAAUUCAAGUAUGUGGUCAAUUUUGCAGAAAAUCCCAUGAGCUUUUAACAAGAAAGCAAAUUCUUUUGUGUCUGGGUGAAUUGUUCUGCAGAUAUCUUCCCAGACCUGUUUGAUUUAUGAUGUUAUUUAAUUCCAGCAUUUCUCUGUUUAAUUUUUUUUUCUGUGAAUGACCUUUCUGUUGGAGAGAGAAGGGUAUUAAAGUCACCUACUAUUACUCUGUGAAUGUGAAAAUGUGGUUUUAGCUGUAGUGAUUUUUCUUUUAUGAAUUGAGUAUUCUUAUGUUCAGGGCAUAAAUUGUAGUAUCCUCUUGGAUGUUUUUUCUUUAGUAAAUACGUGGUGUCUUCUGACCAUUUUUGGUUUGGUCUAUUUUGUCAGGUAGCAAAAUGGCCCCAUGGGCUUACUUCUCGGUGCCAUUUGCUUGGAAUGCCAUUUUCUAUCCUUUUACCUUGAGGUUACGUCUACCUUUGAUGGUGACAUAUGUUGAGACGUGUUUCUGGGAUGUGGAGGAAGGAUGGGUCAUGUUUUCUGAUGCGAUCUGUUUCUGUGUCUUUAUUGGGGAACUGACACCAUCAAUGUUGAGAGUUCUCAAUGAGCAGUUUUUAUUGAUUCCUGUUAUUUGAUUUUUGGGGGUGUAGUUUUCCCAUUUUUGAAUGACUGGUCGGGGAUUAUUUAUUCCUUGUAUUUCCUUGGCUGUGGUUAAUUCUUCAGAAUGAAAAUUUCCUCCUACUCCCUUCAGUAAAGCUAGAUUGAUGGAGAGAAAUUGCUUAAAUUUGGUUUUAAUCCUGGGUUUUAUUUUCUCUGUUGAUCAUGAUUGGUACUUUUUGUGCACACACAGUAUUCUGACUGACAUCUGUGUCUUUCAGAGUCUGUGGGACCCCCUGCUUAGGCUCCUCAGCUUUUAGAGUCUCCAUGGAGGAAUCGGGUGUUAUUCUAGUAGACCCGCCUUUAUACUACUUUGUCUUUUUCUCUUUUAGUUUUUAGUAUCUUUCUUUGUUGCGUACAUUUAGUGUUUUAUUAUGUGAUAUGGGGAAUUCUUUUCUGGUCCAGUCUAUGUGGUAUUCUGCAUGGUUCUUGUGCCUUGAUAGGCAUUUCCUUUAAGGUGGGAAAAUUUCUUUCUAUGAUUUUGUUAAUGUAUUUUCUGUGCUUUUCAUUUAGGCUUCUUUUUCUUCCUCUAUCCCUAUUAUUUGUAGAUUUAGUCUUUUCAUAGUGUUCUAGAUUUCCUAGGUAUGGUAUACCUAUUUGUUUGUUUGUUUGUUUGUUUGUUUGUUUGUUUUUUAAAGCUUAACAUUUUCUUUGAAUGGAAUGUCUGUAGAAGAAAUCCUUGUUAUUCAGUUUGGAAUGCUGUUUCAAAGAUAAGCACUAAGUUUAAUUGUAUCUCAAACCUCAUAAACUUAGAAUGAAUGAAGUUGAUGCUUUCAAAGUAGAUAAUAUCUAACUCCUCAUUUAUCCAAUUCUAAUUCAUCAGCAAGAAAGUAAAAUGUACUUGGGUACAAAAAUAUUAAGGAAUGUUAUUGAAAGGGAGGGGCUAUUUGACAGAAGUAACUACAGAAAUAAAAUAGGUUAUGUUAGAAACUAACAUAAGAACAUUGGUUUACUUUCUUUUCAUAGACCUUAAAGUACACUGAGUAAGAGAAUUUUACUUAAGUGCUUUAAAGAGAAUUCUAACAAGGUGCCUCAUAAAACAUGUAGGAAUCAGAGAUUUGCACAUGCCUGUAAUCUUAACGCUUAACACAUGGGCUCAUUGACAGCCAGUGAGAUGCCUCAUUGGUAAGAGAGCUUAAAACCUGCCAAACCAAACUUCAUCUCAGCACCGACAAGGUAGAUGGAGAGAACUGUCUUCUUUUUUUUUUUUUUUUUGGUUCUUUUUUUCGGAGCUGGGGACCGAACCCAGGGCCUUGCGCUUCCUAGGUAAGCGCUCUACCACUGAGCUAAAUCCCCAGCCCCGAAAACUGUCUUCUAAUCACCCCUCUCUCUCUCUCUCUCUCUUUCUCUCUCUCUCUCUCUCUCACGCACGCACGCACGCACACACACACACACACACACAGAAAGACAGAGAGACAAAGACAGAGACAACGGGAGACAGACAUAUAUAUGUGCAUGCACACACAAAUAAACAAAUGUAAAUUUUAAGUCAUAAUUUAAAAGAUAGAUUUAGGAAAAUCAAAACUCUGAGGCCUGCCUCAGCUACACUGCAAGUCUGAGACCACGUGAUCAACAUGAGAACCUGGCUCAAAAAACCAAACCAACAAAAAAAAGCAGAAAAACAAAACAAGCAAAACCAAGAAAUAUGCAGGAAGAAUAGUCAUACAGGAGCUAAUCCGCUCGCCUUUGGAGACACUGACAUCUACAAUAGGCCAUCAUCUCUGGCCCCACUUGGCUGGGAUUGGGACCCAUUAGGUUCUUCCCAGUGUUAGAUUUCACUGGCUCAACAAAGUCUUGUGCAUACCUACCCUAUUCUAUGUCCAGAGAACGGAGUCUCUCUCCGCACCAGGCUGCUCAAGGUUGUUAGAAGGCUGCCUCUAAGUCACCAGGGCUGGCACUAAGCUAGGCUACACCACAAGGACCUGCACUAUGUCAGGGGUGGACCAGUGUCUGUGCCAUAGCUGAUGGGAUCCUGGCUAUCAGCAGUUAGACAUUUAACGAGGAAGAAAACUGUAAGGGAAAAUGCCUUCACUUCCCAGAGGAGACGCUGCCGUUCCUCUAAAGACUCCUACUGAACCUUCAAUGUUCUUCUCUUUUCCUUUCAACUCUAACUCCUCAGAGGACCUUCUAGGAGCCUGGUCAACGAGCCUCUCUGAGUCAUUCUUUCAGGUGAUGAUGUAUAAUGUGCCUCAAGAUAGUGCAGAACUGAGCAUGCGCGGUAGUAGUUCCCGUCUACUCUGUCCCUUUUUCAAAAAGUGCCCUGAGCCCUUGAGCCGAAUGCAUCUAGAAACAACCUGUGUCUUCCAUCUUUUCUUCCUAAAUAUUUGAUCUAUGACCUUAAUCUGAGCAUGCUCAGAAAUCUGCUCAUCCUACUCGUACACCCUUCCUACAUGAACAGAAGAGAACCGCUAUCCAUGCUUUCUCUGCCCAGGGAGGACACGGACUGCGAAUAACCCCAGUGCUUUCCUUAUUUGCCCAAAGUAUUGGGUCUUUCCCUAUUCUUUCAUCUUCAGCUGUGUCCAUUGGCUUUGCACUCACCGAGAGGAAGUCCCAUUACAUUUGGUUCCCUUGGAGCGCAGUUUCUGGCUGAACCAGAGGCAAGUAUGGUGGCUUUAUCUUUAAAGCAACAGCACUGGGACAGCUGUGAUACCAGCGACUGAGAGAAGUGUGGUACAGACCGGUCCUUUGGAACAACGGCCAGCUUCCUACAGGACUUACAACACUGAGAGUGAAGGUAGCCUGUCCCCAAUCCUACUGACCAGCAUCAGGGGAAAGUCCUGUCUCUUGGCUUACAUAGUUCUAUCCCUUCACUUCACACCCAGGACCCCGGGGAUGAGGGUUACGUGCUCAGCUCCAGGUUUUGCUAUGGUAGGCCUGGUACUGAGAUUUAAGUCUAAGCCCUGGAUCCAAUUCUCUCUCCAGCUGCACGGAGUUGUAAGAGGGCCAUGUGGAGCUUCUUUCCUUCCUGCCUUCCUGCCUUCUUCAGUGAGUCUUUCUUUCCCUUUUUUUUUUUUCUUUUUUUCGGAGCUGGGGACCGAACCCAGGGUCUUGCGCUUGCUAGGCUACCACUGAGCUAAAUCCCCAACCCCGAGUCUUUCUUUCCUUCCUACUCACGAAACCCAGGCACCAUCGUCUCUUACCUGUCUUCCUUUCCUGCGACAGUGCACAAACGGCUGUGUAAAUUACAUGUCUGAGAGAGAACUGGCACAGAAUCCGACUUAGUCACCAUCUCACUCUGCUUCCAGGAAGAUUAUUGUUGUUGUUGUCGUCGUCGUCGUCGUUGUUAAGAAGGCUUACCUUUACCACUGAACACAGAAAUUCAGAUGCUCAUUGGUAUUAAAUAUCCCAGGGGAUAAGAGUAAGAGACCCAUGGGUCUGAUCUCCAACAUUUCGAUGCUUUCCUUCCAAAACCCUAAGUCUGCCAUUUUUUAUGAUGUGAAGUUUGUAUAUAAAUCUUUGUCUCUGGUAGAAUUAGGAGCUCAACAACUAAGAAUCUGCAGACAAGACAAUCUGUUAUUUCUCCUCCCCAGGCUAAUCUGUCUACUGUCUGCUGAGUUCCAGGCCCCAGUCACAGUGAGACAUCUUUUCCCAUAGGAAAAGGCUGUCAAAUUCUUCAGCACGUUCAUGCAUUUGAGCACGGUCCCGUGUUAACACACAAAACACAACUUGCUAGCAGGGCCUAUUUCUACAAUUUAGGUAGCAAAAAUGAACUUAUCACUGGGAAUAAAAGGCUCUACGGAGGAAAUAAAAGUGGAUACGUUUCAAGCUGUGCUUCCUAGUUUAUAGCACGGUACUCACUGAUUUUCUGUCAACAGCAGUCCAAGGUUCCAAGUUAAAGACAAAAUAACCUUGUCAAUUGUUUUAAGUGGAGAUAUUACAAAAUAUAAGUGCUGUACUAUUGAGAUGACAGUUUACGAGAAUAAUGACUCAAUUUAAUUGGACAAAAUUUAUGCAGUAUUUUAUGAACAAAUCAGAGUAGAGUUGUUUUAUUGAAUGGUUUAUUACGUAGUUAGUAUAGUCUCUAAAGACAGGAAAAGCUUCUACAGUUACAAAAUGAGAAGGAAUGUUUCUCUGAAUUACAGAGUCAAGUACACAGUGGGUACCACCUCAGCUCGGUGACUUAAGUCUCACAUCGGACAUAGAGAAGCACACAAAAGGAAAACGUCAGAAACAAGCGCACACAAACAAUGGAGAGGAGGAAAAGAAGGGCAGUGGGCGGAGUUAAAGCUGCCAGCGGUUCUGUGGACACAUGUGGGUGUCACAACAGCUGUGCUGGUGCCCCGUGAGGGGUGCGCCUCUGGCAAUGGAUUUGACCAGCUCUGUUAAACAUCAUUGGCAUUCUGAACGACAGUUUUGGUUUUUGGUUUUCAGGGUUUUUUUGUUUUUGUUUUUGUUUUUUUUGUUGUUUUGUUUUGUUUUUUUUAGUGCUGAAAACAUAUCUAUUUAGAAUUUUGUUAGCCACCAGGAGGCAGCUGAACAUACAACACGCACAGACAUACAUAUACACAUACAUACAUACACAUACAUACACACACAUAAAUACACAUAUAUACAUACACGCAUACACAUAUAUAUGCACACAUACAUACACACACAUACACACACACACAUAUAUAUAUACACACAUACAUACACAUACAUACACACACACUCACAGCCUCUUUCGGUCAGUCCUUACCAAGGUGUUGACUUUGGCCAUAUCAUUGUAGUAUCUGGUUCUUGCUAGCCUUCACACACACACACACACACACACACACACACACACACACACAGUGAACACAAGUGUGUCGUUGUCUUCUCUUUUCUUUGUGGUUGACUCAGUGGACAGGGAGAACGUGAUGGCGGCAUACUGGUUAAGCUUGCUUCUUUUCAGCACACUCUUAAGGGUACUUGGGGAGCCUCCAAGAACUGCAGGGUCUCGGGCAGCUAGAAGGUGGGCAGUGUUCAGAUCAUUUAUCUUUUGCAGCUGAGGAUACCUCUCAGCACAGCUAUCUUGGCUUUUGAAGCAAAGUGAAGUAAGACUCCUUCUAACGGUACAACAUUCAUUAUAGUGGCGAAUUCUCAUGCAUGAUUUGAGCAUACUGAGAAGCUGGCUCUGGAAGCAAGAUUUCACCUACUCCAUUUCAGAGUCAAGCUCGUUUGUCUUCCAGAGUCCUCAAAGGCCAUUUGUGUGAGGAUAAACUGCUCCUAUCACUAACAUUGUCACGGGGAAGAAGAGAACAAGGACAGCCCAAGAAUAAAAACAUCUUGUCCUUGGAGGGAAACUAUUGGCAACAGAUGUUAGUGUUUUCGUCCCACGACGCAAAAGUGCCUGCAGAGGGAAAGAGAAGCUGGAACUUCAGCCACAGAACGCUCAUCUGUGGCAAGAAAGCUCAACGGGGGAUUCCAGCUGCCUUAACUGUCCCAGUUGUGUUGGAUGUUCUGAUGGCUGGAUUUUAUUUGUCUGUCUGUCUGUCUAACAUUUAUUUGUACUGUGUAUCUAUCACUCACUAUUUUCUCUUACUUUGGCUUGCCAUAAACUCACUCAUUCAAACCCCCAAAGCUUCCACAACGCAUCCGUGGACUAAUGUAAAAAUCUCCAAGCAGCUCAACUGUGGCUGCUUUCCAUCUUCAGAAAUUCAGAAACAGGCAUUCAGGAGCUGCUUUUACUAAAGAAAAAAAAAAAAAAAACCUUGACUCCCUGCUCGGGCUACAAGGACGCUAAAUGCGUGAUAAAGCCUGGUGUCCCUGCCUUCAUUGCUUUCUGUCUUCUCUGCUUUGGGUCGCCUGUUUACCUCUGCACAUAGGCAUGUCAAUUCCUCAAGAAGUGUCUAACUGUUCAUCCUUUUUCAGGGCUGGAGGCUGAGAGGAAAGUCACUGUCUUAAUCAUGUGAAGUCACCUCAGACUUCGGAAACAGCAGAGCUUUAUAUCACAAAACCCUAGAUUACUCAGCAAACAGAAGCAGUCGUUUCUGGCAACCAGACUGAUGCCCCUACGUAAACAAGAAUCACUUUGCAUAAUCAAACUGGAAGUGGUGAUCAAGCUCUCCAAAGGACUGCUUAAUUGUGUGUACCUCUCUUUUUACUUAAACCUAAAUCUCCUGUAUGUACCCCAAAGGAUGGACUUGAGGUCACUGGGCCUCUUCAACUGUUCCUGUUCGCCACACGAGUGUAGUGAAUAAUUGACUGUGUUUCAGUGUUGCUUAUCUCUGUGGUUAGUGUAACAGGAAGUGUGGCUGGUUUAGCUUGUCAUGGCUACCGGGGCACACACUUGUACAUCAAACACGCCAAUUAUGGUCUGACUUCACAGAAAAGUAUAUAACAAAAAUCAUACACGUGUAGAGCCCAGGGAAUUAACGAUACAGCAUACAAGUGGGUGUUUUAUAAAUGUUUAAAACUAUGUUUAGAAACGUGUAGGUGCCUGUUGGAUGGGGAUGGGAGUCAGUGAACGAAUGAAAAGCUCUAGUUAAUUAAAAUCAUUUUGUUAUCUGAUAACAGUGUAAGAUUGGCCCCCUCCCCCGUGUGUGUGUGUGUGUGUGUGUGUGUGUGUGUGUGUGUGUGUGUGUGUGAUGUGUGUAGAUGCCUGUCUGUGGAAGGUCUGAAGUUACAGAUGGUGUGUGCUGUCUAGUCUGAGGCAAAUAUGAGUGACUAGAGACCAUGGCCCUGGGACAUAAUUCAAGUCGCCCCAAAUUCUAUGUUCUAACAUGGAAACCGCAUGAGCUUUUAUAGAGGUUGUGGAACUAAAAAAACACAUACAAGGCAUCUUCCAAGUCCAUUGGCUGUCAUUAUAUAGGUGGUUACAGUACAAGGGAAUCCCUCUGCUACAUUUUUAAAUGUUACAAGACACUGUCUGGAGCUUCAGUGUUGGUGGAAGCUGCUAGUCAAUGAGAUUGAUACUUCCGAAGGGUUUACCUGACAGAUGCAUGAAGGUUUCAUCAGACAGGGGACUAAUGUUAGCCCAGAAUGGUUUGGCUGUGAAUCUGCUACAUUCCAGCUCUCUAUAGUCAAGAAUUUCUAAUAAGUCAAUCAGCCUUGUAGAAUAUACAAAGUGUUAUCUUUUUUUCUGGGAACUUUACUUAACAAGUUUCUUCUUGUUGUUGUUUCGUAGUUGUCUAACUUAGAGUUACUAUUGCUGGAACAAAAUAACAUGACCAAAAGUAAUUUGGAGAGGAAAGGUUUAUAUCACUCACAGUUCCAUAAAACAUCUUAUCAAGAACAGAGAGGAGGACAGGAAUUCGUGAAGGGCGGGAACCUUGCUUUGCAUGGCUAGCCCAGCCUGUUUUCUUAUAGAGUCAGCACAGGGAUGGCUCUAUCCACAGUGGGAUGGGCCCUCCUCCCAGUCAGUCACUGAAUAAGAAAAUGCUCUACAGCUAGAUCUUGUGGAGGAAAGUUCUCAACGGGGAUUCCCUCCUCUGAGAUGACGCUAGCCUGUGUCAAGUUGACAUAGAUUAGCCAGCACAGUGGCAUUAGUGAUAGAAUCAGGAGCAAGUGCUUUUACCACUAACCCCUCUUCCUGAGAUUUCUCAUUUACGUAAAACAAAUACAGAUUGUUUAAAUGUCCCGACUUAAAUAAAUUUAGCUCAUCAGUGUCUCUUAUUGUCCUUUGAGAUUAGAAAUGAAAUUUCAGUCUUAUGGUUUUUGACAUUAUUGUUACACCCACCUGCUCCUCCAUUUCACAUUUUUAUUAGUUUAUGACAGUAACUGUGCACACCAAAUUUUCAAUUAUUAAAACAUUUUCUCCCAUAAAUUAUCGUUUUCUAUCAAACCUCUGUAUGGAAAUUAUUUGUAACUAAUUUUACUAAUUAAGGAAAUAUAAGAGGAGAGUGAUGUGAUAAUUGGUAUAUUGGAAAUUAUCCUUAUUAAUCUUACUGUUAAAAGACAGCCGUCAAUAAAAUGUUACAGUUAUGUUCACAGAAGGAACACAAUAUGAGGAACAUUACAUAAGAAUUAAAGGGUUGCAGCAUUAGGAAGAUUGGGUAUCGUUAUGCUAAGUAGAAUUGGAAAUUUUUCUCCGUCCUUACUAUCUUCCUUCCUGUUUGGUCAAGUUUCUCAUCAGUAAGACUCUUACUUGUAGUACGAGUCCAUUUAGGUCAGAUUAGUUGGAAUCUCCUUGUGUUUUGUGUUACUAAUUUCUAUCCAGGGUCUCCUUAAUCUAUUCAUAAAUGCCCUUCAUGAAUGCUCAUAAGUAAGUCUUUGCUGCAUUCUCUUUCCUGGUGUAUUACCCCUGUUGCAACAGUCUUCAAUAAGCUCGUCCACACGCUUUUAUCACGUGUCAGAAGAGCAUUUUCUUACCAUCUACCAGAGAGGAAUACGCAUGUUUUUCUCUAUGUACAUUAAGGCUCUGUAAGAAAAGAAUGGUUAGCAGAAGAAAAUUCACAUAAAGGUGCAUUGUUUCCCGUGAAUUGGGAGAUGAAGGGCCAGAAAGACAGAAUAAUCUGAAUAAUUUUAAAGCACACUGAUGAGAAACAGAGUUAAGAGCAGUGUGGGCAUACGCUAAACCAUAGUGGGCUAGAGUAAGAGGACAGUGGGCAUGCGCUAAACUGUCGUGAGUUAGAGUAAGAGGACAGUGGGCAUGCGCUAACCAUAGUGGGCUAGAGUAAGAGCAGUGUGGACAUGCACUAAACCAUAGUGGGCUAAAAUAAGAGCAGAGUGGACAUGCGCUAAACCGUAGUGGGCUAGAAUAAAAGUAGAGUGGGCCUGCGCUAAACCGUGGUGGGCUGGAUUAGAGCAGAGUGGGCAUGCGCUAAAUCGUCAUACAUUAAAGGAACCUUAGGGAAGCCAGCUGUUUUAGAGUCCUGUUUUACAUACAGCCAUCGUCACUGGCAAGAUUGUUCUAGUAUUCUACUGUUGAUCAAUCCAACCUCAUAAACUUCAAAAGUGAAAGGGACUAUUGGGUAUUUUAUGAUUCAAAAUUCAGGAAACAGAUUUUGUGUUUUUAGGUCUUGGGUGUCUGUGUGUCCUUGUUUCUUGUAAUUUUCUUUUUAUUAUGGUUUGCUUGUUUGCCUGUGUCUUUUUAAAGGAAGAGAGAAAGCAUGGAGUUGGAUGAGUGGGUGGGUAGGUGGCUAGGAGGAUCUGAGACAGGACAAACCGUAAUCGGAAUACAUUGUAUGAAAAAAGUUAUUUUCAAUGAAAUAUAUGAAGACCAAAAAAAUUCAGGAAACAGAUUUAAGUCUGUGCUCCAAAGAAGGCAGGGGACUGGGGGCUACAAUUGAGCAGUCAGUGUUGACUUAUUUCAAGACACUAAUCAUUCUUUUGUGGGGAAACGUCUACUGCUGUCGAGAACAGGCAUGGCUUGACAGGAGCUAUGUGACUGAUAAGGAAAAACUCCCACAUACACUCAGUAAAAUUAUCCGUGAAACCAGAGUCCAGGAACACGUCUUACCAUUCCGAACAUAAAUCACGCCUAAUUAUACACUCACGAACCUCGUGGGAAAGGCUUUUUCCAUGUUGCCUUCAUCCAGAUUCCCCCUUUUCUUUCAGGAUAUGGGGGAGGCACCUCUCAAAUGAAAGUCAUGGGACUUUGCUCAGGGGAGGAGCAGGUAAACCCUUCUUAUCUUAUGUAUAUGAGUACACUGUAGCUGUCUUCAGACACACCAGAAGAGAACAUCGGAUCCCAUUACAGAUGGUUGUGAGCCACCCUGUGGUUGCUGGGAAUUGAACUCAGGACCUCUGGAACCACUGAGCCAUCUCUCCAAGGCACUGAGGAGUUGGUGUGUGAGGAUCAGUGAGCAGUUUUCAUUCCCAUCCUGCCAUCAUUGGUCCGCACAUCUCUAAAUGCUGCUUUCUAGCUUCCUUUGCUCUCUCCGUUCUGCUCACUGCAAUUGAUGACUGCUGUCGCUUCUGUCCUGAAGCUGUAAAUACAGUAUGCACUCCUAAAUAUUCUUUAGAUCUUAUUUUUAAAAAAAUCAGUUAAAUCUGAGGAAAAAGUAACACUGACUUCUGUGAAAGUGUUAGAACUCUCAGGGUGGCACAUAGGAGACGAGAGGCUGCCUGGAUGGCGAUUCUUCACUUGACAGUAAUAACGGGGAGGCAUGGACAGUUUACCCUAAUGCAGCAGUCUCAACCUGUGGCUGGAAACACCUUCAGGAUCAAAGGAUCCUUCAACGGGGGUCCUCUAAGAACAUUGGAAAACACUGGUAUUUACAUUACCAUUGAUAACAGUAACAAAAUUACAAUUAUGAAGUAGCAAUGAAAAUCUUUUCCGGGAUGGGGGGGGGGGUCACCACAACAUGAGGAGCUGUAUCAAAGGGCCACGGCAUCAGGAAGGAUGAGAACUUCUGCUCUGAAGGGAGCAAGGAUAAAGGACACAUUAGAGAAAGACAAGUAGGACAGAUGCUGCAGAAAACCAGAGAAGAGACGAAGGUACUCCAGCAGAGGCAGGCAGAGAGAUCUUGCCUCCUCCAAAGAAUGGAGCGGCAGUGUGUGUGUGUGUUGAAGGAUGAAAAGGAUAAUGACCACAGUUAAUCUUUCUUAAUUAAAGCUCUUCAGUGGUGCACACAGCUAUGGUCUGAGGCUGCAGGGAUAGAUGAAUUGAAUUCAAAGUAAGUGAACUCUUGAAUGAUGCCUGGGGUUCCAGUGGUAGAUAUGCAAAUUUUAGCAUAUCUACCAAAAUUUGUCCACUGGAAAAAUUGCUAUGUAAAAAGCACUAUUUUUCCUAUACAUCAUAUAUAUGUAUAUAUAUAUUCCUAUAUAUCAUACACACAUACCUAUAUAUAUUUAUAUAUAUACAUAUAUACAUGUAUAUAUAUAUGUAUCCUACAUCACAUUUUUUCAGCCUAGUAUUUCCAUGCUGUUGAGCCUUACAGGCAGUGACUACCUACAAGCACUUUGAGAGAGAGAGAGAGAGAGAGAGAGAGAGAGAGAGAGAGAGAAAGGAGAAGAGGAGAGAAGAGAAGAGAAGAGAAGAGAAGAGAAGAGAAGAGAAGAGAAGAGAAGAGAAGAGAAGAGAAGAGAAGAGAAGAAACUCAGUGCAGACAUUGGUCCAUCUUUUGUGUGGUGGAGGAGCUGCAGGAUCAAAUAGGAAAGGACAACAAGGACGCCUUUUCAAAGACUUCUGCUCAAACUGGCUUCAUGGUCAGGUCGUGGCUGGUUCCUUGGAGUCAGAUUAACAGGAUGAACCUGAAAGGUUCACUGCUAGGGAUAGGGAAUAGGGUACUGGUGCCUAUUGUGAGGUAAUUGAUUCUGCAUGGGUACUGGCCCAGUUCUGGGCAAGGGGUGCUAUAGCUACAAGGCUCACUGUUGCUAGAAUCUUGAAAAUAUCCCAGUUACUCUGGAGGAAUUUCAAAGACGACCAAGAAAAGUUAAGUAAAUUUAAGGCUAAUAGACCUUAUAUCAGCAGUUUAAGAUCAACACUUCUUAAAUGAUUAAUAUGUGUUGGCGUAGAAUAGAUAAGGCAUUUGGACCAAAGUUUGAGGCAAUCAGAGAGACGUGUAACCUGGAGACACAGACACACGAAGCUUCUGUUCUGCUUCCUCUAUCCCCACCACCUUCAAUCCCAAGUGAAGAUCGGUGCGUUUAAAAUCAGAAGAUACUUGAGUUCUUAAAAUGCUAUUUUAAAGACA